Molecule: long non-coding RNA, 363 nt
Organism: Tarenaya hassleriana
Lineage: Eukaryota; Viridiplantae; Streptophyta; Magnoliopsida; Brassicales; Cleomaceae
Exons: 2
Source: RefSeq, a predicted model, not a curated record
AGCCGAGGCAGCGGAAGCUGAUGCCGAGGCAGCUCAGGCUUUCGCUGAAGCCGCUUUGAAGACUUUGAAAGGAAGAAACUCCUCCAAACUGUUGAUGCAGGCAUGACAUCGGCCGGCCGGAGAAGACGGUGAUGGAGAUAUUCGUGAACACGACGAGAACAUGUAGGUAACGUAGCUGAUGUAUGGAGGUAUAUAUAUAUAUGGCUUUGUGUUCUUUUUUUUUUUUGGGAAACCUUUAGUGAUGAUUCUUUAUAUUUCUACACCUUGAAGUUGAACUAUAUUCUUCCUAAGACGUAAUCCAUUGCCUUGUUAAUUUUCUCUCCAAUUAAAUGUUUCCAGCAAUGGGGUAUUUUUUUGGUUUCA